This is a long non-coding RNA of Microtus ochrogaster (prairie vole), 1031 nucleotides long. RefSeq lists it as uncharacterized. Lineage: Eukaryota; Metazoa; Chordata; Mammalia; Rodentia; Cricetidae. The transcript is spliced from 3 exons. The record is from RefSeq and is a predicted model, not a curated record.
CGAGGAGCCAGAGCCGCACGGGCUCGGGGGGGAAAGCGACUGCACUGGCCGCGAAGGCGGCGGCGGUGGCGGUGGCGGCUCCGGCAGCGCCCAGGGCUGUGCCCCGCCGGACCCAGAUGCCCCGGGAAGCCGACAGUCAGGCUGCCCGCCGGAGCUCACAGGCGGCGGCGGCGCGGCAGCGGCGGUGGCGGCGGCGGCGGUGGCGCUUGGCAGAGCUCAAGAUAACAAGGAGACGGGAGCUCAGCAGUGAGACAUCAGCUGGAAACUGACCCAAUUUCAGGUGACCUGCUGGCGGAUACAUUGCCUGAUGAAGAAGAAGACUGAAUCCCUUCUGAGGAGACCCGUAGGAGAAAAUGGAAAAGUAAACGGAAGACUAUAAUUCAUGUGUCAACGCCGUGAUGAUGCAUAUUGGGAUGGGGAUCCAAAAGAGCUCCCCAGAAGAUUCAGUGCUUGAGAUGAAAGAGCCGAAAGGUCAUUAGGAGGUCACAAACCAGGGGAGUGAGGACUGCUCCCCGGCUUGGUGACAUUUUGGCCUGUGGAAGAAAUGGAAGAACAUGCCCGAAAGACCAGAAGUGAGUUGGCAUUUGAGGACUAGAUGCUAGAAGAUUCUAAAUACAUUGAAAGACAAAACAGCAAACAAACAAAACAAGCAGAUCUUGAAAGCUCUACAGCAUGGUGACUUCAGGUUCUCAAGACUAGCAGGAGGCUGGGGAGAUGGUUCCAUCAGCAAAGUGCUUGGUGUAUCAAUGUGGAGACCUGGGGUAGGAUCCUUAGCAUCCUUGAAAAAGCCAUGUGCAGUGUCAUGCAUGGAUAACUUUAGCCCUGGGGAUUGGUGGAAGGGGAUCCCUGGAGCUUACCAGCUGGUCAGUUAAACUGAAUUAUCAAAUACCAAGUUCAGUGAGAUUCGCUUGUCUCAAAAAUGUGUAGAAAGCCACUGAGAAAGCCACUUGAUGUCAAUUUGGUCUCCACAGGCAUGGUCACAUGCAUGUAUGCACACACCCACACACAGACAGCCCCCACCCCAUACACAC